This 344-nucleotide long non-coding RNA is filed under the name Hordeum vulgare. Its description in RNAcentral is "long non-coding RNA (HVUL_LNC012690)". Lineage: Eukaryota; Viridiplantae; Streptophyta; Magnoliopsida; Poales; Poaceae. The record is from RNAcentral.
GGCAGUCAAACAACACCUAAACAUGCAUUUCUAUUGCAACCAAAAAUACCAGAGGCUACACAAAACAUCCAAGAUCAAAUCACUAGUUGACAACUAAUUCAAACGAGGCCCGGAAUAAAACCUACGGGUUAAACAAAAGGGCUUCACGUCAAAAUAACUCGCAAACUAACUUCCUCAAAAGCUAAAACUAAUUGCACAGAAAAAUCCGUGGGAUUUUUCUACCCCGGAAACAUAUAUAAUAUGUGGGGUUUGCAAUACAAAAUAACGCUACACAAUAAUGCGGGAGAAUUAAACCUAGACACGAAAAAUACUCUAACGGGCAAUCCCUACAUGCAAAAAAAUAC